RNAcentral lists this ribosomal RNA (506 nucleotides) under uncultured bacterium. RNAcentral's name for it is "partial 16S ribosomal RNA". It matches the Rfam family "Bacterial small subunit ribosomal RNA", at positions 29 to 523 of the family's 1533-position model. The record is from RNAcentral.
AGUGAACGCUGGCGGUAGGCCUAACACAUGCAAGUCGAACGGCAGCACAGGAGAGCUUGCUCUCUGGGUGGCGAGUGGCGGACGGGUGAGGAAUACAUCGGAAUCUACUUUUUCGUGGGGGAUAACGUAGGGAAACUUACGCUAAUACCGCACACGACCUACGGGUGAAAGCAGGGGACCUUCGGGCCUUGCGCGAUUGAAUGAGCCGAUGUCGGAUUAGCUAGUUGGCGGGGUAAAGGCCCACCAAGGCGACGAUCCGUAGCUGGUCUGAGAGGAUGAUCAGCCACACUGGAACUGAGACACGGUCCAGACUCCUACGGGAGGCAGAAGUGGGGAAUAUUGGACAAUGGGCGCAAGCCUGAUCCAGCCAUACCGCGUGGGUGAAGAAGGCCUUCGGGUUGUAAAGCCCUUUUGUUGGGAAAGAAAUCCAGCUGGCUAAUACCCGGUUGGGAUGACGGUACCCAAAGAAUAAGCACCGGCUAACUUCGUGCCAGUAGCCGCCGUAA